GACGAACGCUGGCGGCGUGCUUAACGCAUGCAAGUCGAACGCUGAAGCUUGGUGCUUGCACUGGGUGGAUGAGUGGCGAACGGGUGAGUAAUACGUGAGUAACCUGCCCUUGACUCUGGGAUAAGCCUGGGAAACUGGGUCCAAUACUGGAUACGACAUGUCACCGCAUGGUGGUGUGUGGAAAGGGUUUUACUGGUUUUGGAUGGGCUCACGGCCUAUCAGCUUGUUGGUGGGGUAAUGGCUCACCAAGGCGACGACGGGUAGCCGGCCUGAGAGGGUGACCGGCCACACUGGGACUGAGACACGGCCCAGACUCCUACGGGAGGCAGCAGUGGGGAAUAUUGCACAAUGGGCGGAAGCCUGAUGCAGCGACGCCGCGUGAGGGAUGACGGCCUUCGGGUUGUAAACCUCUUUCAGCACGGAAGAAGCGAAAGUGACGGUACGUGCAGAAGAAGCGCCGGCUAACUACGUG
Molecule: ribosomal RNA, 472 nt
Filed under: uncultured bacterium
Lineage: Bacteria
Description: partial 16S ribosomal RNA
Rfam family: Bacterial small subunit ribosomal RNA
Source: RNAcentral